This 484-nucleotide ribosomal RNA is filed under the name uncultured bacterium. RNAcentral's name for it is "partial 16S ribosomal RNA". It matches the Rfam family "Bacterial small subunit ribosomal RNA", at positions 29 to 507 of the family's 1533-position model. The record is from RNAcentral.
AUUGAACGCUAGCGGGAUGCUUUACACAUGCAAGUCGAACGGCAGCGCGGACUUCGGUCUGGCGGCGAGUGGCGAACGGGUGAGUAAUGUAUCGGAACGUGCCCAGUAGCGGGGGAUAACUACGCGAAAGAGUAGCUAAUACCGCAUACGCCCUACGGGGGAAACCAGGGGGGCGUAAGACCUUGCACUAUUGGAGCGGCCGAUAUCGGACUAGCUAGUUGGUGGGGUAACGACUGACGUAGGCGACGAUCCGUAGCUGGUGUGAGAGGAGGAGCGGCCACACUGGGACUGGGACGCGGACCAGGCUCCUACGGGAGGCAGCAGUGGGGAAUUUUGGACAAUGGGGGCAAACCUGACCCAGCCAUCCCGCGUGUGCGAUGAAGGCCUUCGGGUUGUAAAGCACUUUUGGCAGGAAAGAAACGCCGCGGGCUAAUACCCCGUGGAACUGACGGUACCUGCAGAAUAAGCACCGGCUAACUACGUG